This 73-nucleotide transfer RNA is filed under the name Ictidomys tridecemlineatus (thirteen-lined ground squirrel). RNAcentral's name for it is "Spermophilus tridecemlineatus (thirteen-lined ground squirrel) tRNA". It matches the Rfam family "tRNA". From Rfam's summary of the family: Transfer RNA (tRNA) molecules are approximately 80 nucleotides in length. Their secondary structure includes four short double-helical elements and three loops (D, anti-codon, and T loops). Lineage: Eukaryota; Metazoa; Chordata; Mammalia; Rodentia; Sciuridae. The record is from Rfam by way of RNAcentral.
CUGGAUAUAGCUCAGUUGGUAGAGUGCUUGCCUUGCAUGCAGAAGGCCCUGGGUUCCAUGCCCAGCACCAAGA